CGAGCGGAGCCGGGCUUCCUUCGGCUUGACGCCCCGGUCCCAGGCGGCACAAAUCCAGCAUGACAAAGAGCAUAGAGCCUCGCCAGUCCCAGGAAGAGGGAAGGGCUCGAGGCCUCCUCCGAACAAGCUCCAGGCAGCAGAAGAGGCCUCGCUCUUGGCCCAGAAUUCACCUGCAUGAGGCGGCUCUCCUCGUCUGAGGCUCAGAGAAAAAGGCCGCUGCAGAUUGCCCCCUGCUCCGGGGGGGCUUCAAGACUUGCACGGUGUUGGGCAGAUUACACAAUUUGCAAAACAACGAAGGCCACCCUCUGCAAGAUGGAAAAGUUCCCGCAGAUUAAGGAAUGUUAGAGUGAUGUUGGACUGAAAACAAGUGGUUUCCAGCUGCACAGGUUAAAGUUAAUGAUAGACUAAGAUUAAAGAUCAAGAUUAAAGAUGUUUAAAGAAAUGGAAAUUUGAUAUUAAAAGGGAAAAUUUUAACGUUAUAUGAUACUAAGAUCAAGGAUUAGGUUUAAAAAAGUUGAAGUUAUAUAUUUUAACAUUUUAUUAAAUUAAAGAUUGGGAUUAAAAAGUGGAAAAGAAACUGCUGGACAAAUAAUGUGGAUUGGAAUACAAAAGAGGGAGGUAUGAGGAAGUCCAGAAAAUAAGUAAUUUAAAAUUGGAAAUGGAAAAGAGAGUUUGUUUUUAAUUGUUAUGCUUUUUGUUUUUUAUUGUUGAGUUUUGUAUUGUUUUUUGUGUGUGUUGUUUUUUUUCUUUUGUUGUUUAAAACUUUAAUAAAAAUUAUUUUUUUAAAAAAAGGAAAAGUUCCCGCAGAGCAGCUCAGGGAAUUGCAUGAAUGCCGGGGGAGAGUCAGCCAUUCCUCAACUGUAAGGUGCUGAGAUACUGACCUGCACUGGUCUCCUCUCUCAGUAACCCCUAGCCCUGCACUCGCACACACACUUGAUGUGACAUCAGAGAAUGCCAUCUAUUUCCUUUGCACUGAAUGAUGUGUCCAGUGGGGAGGCCAAGCCUUCCAUUUCCGCCCCUCAAAACAUGCUGGAGCUCAUAACAACCAGCACUUGGGAACGGGUGCAAUGGAGGACAGAGGCCUGUGCUGAUCAGUAGAGAGAAGAAAUUGUGAUACAGGUGCCUGUUCCCAUCACACGGAGAUGUUGGGUUGUGCAAUUAGAGUCUGUGGCAGAAGGACAACCCUCUUUAAUCCAGAUUAUCUGCACCUGCCCCAGACUGGAGAUUAUGCUUUAUUUCAACCUUUUCAGAGCUGGCUUUUGACAACUAGGGAUUGUCGUCGUUUCCAGUGGACAACUGCCCAAUCGAGGCAGGUCUGGUGAAGCUGAGAUGGCUUCAUCCAAAGCAUUGGGGAGGGUUCUCUGCAUGCUUAGUGUUGGCUGGUAUAUUCUUUCUCAGACUGUUCAUCCGCACCCAGG
Molecule: non-coding RNA, 1418 nt
Organism: Podarcis lilfordi (Lilford's wall lizard)
Lineage: Eukaryota; Metazoa; Chordata; Lepidosauria; Squamata; Lacertidae
Source: the annotation of a GenBank genome assembly